UUGCUGGUCAUGGGACCAGAGGCUUUAUGGGAAGGGAAGAAUUGUUCUUGACUUUCAGUUUUUCGAGCGGGUUUCAAGAGUCUAACGUGAAGACAUUUUGCUCCAAGAAUAUCCUAGCCAUCCUUGGCUUCUCCUCUAUCAUAGCUGUGAUAGCUUUGCUUGCUGUGGGGUUGACCCAGAACAAAGCAUUGCCAGAAAACGUUAAGUAUGGGAUUGUGCUGGAUGCAGGUUCUUCUCACACAAGUUUAUACAUCUAUAAGUGGCCAGCAGAAAAGGAGAAUGACACAGGGGUGGUGCAUCAAGUAGAAGAAUGCAGGGUUAAAGGUCCUGGAAUUUCAAAAUAUGUUCAGAAAGUAAAUGAAAUAGGCAUUUACCUGACUGAUUGCAUGGAAAGAGCUAGGGAAGUGAUUCCAAGGUCCCAGCACCAAGAGACACCCGUUUACCUGGGAGCCACGGCAGGCAUGCGGUUGCUCAGGAUGGAAAGUGAAGAGUUGGCAGACAGGGUUCUGGAUGUGGUGGAGAGGAGCCUCAGCAACUACCCCUUUGACUUCCAGGGUGCCAGGAUCAUUACUGGCCAAGAGGAAGGUGCCUAUGGCUGGAUUACUAUCAACUAUCUGCUGGGCAAAUUCAGUCAGAAAACAAGGUGGUUCAGCAUAGUUCCAUAUGAAACCAAUAAUCAGGAAACCUUUGGAGCUUUGGACCUUGGGGGAGCCUCUACACAAAUCACUUUUGUACCCCAAAACCAGACUAUCGAGUCCCCAGAUAAUGCUCUGCAAUUUCGCCUCUAUGGCAAGGACUACAAUGUCUACACACAUAGCUUCUUGUGCUAUGGGAAGGAUCAGGCACUCUGGCAGAAACUGGCCAAGGACAUUCAGGUUGCAAGUAACGAAAUUCUCAGGGACCCAUGCUUUCAUCCUGGAUAUAAGAAGGUAGUGAACGUAAGUGACCUUUACAAGACCCCCUGCACCAAGAGAUUUGAGAUGACUCUUCCAUUCCAGCAGUUUGAAAUCCAGGGUAUUGGAAACUAUCAACAAUGCCAUCAAAGCAUCCUGGAGCUCUUCAACACCAGUUACUGCCCUUACUCCCAGUGUGCCUUCAAUGGGAUUUUCUUGCCACCACCCCAAGGGGAUUUUGGGGCAUUUUCAGCUUUUUACUUUGUGAUGAAGUUUUUAAACUUGACAUCAGAGAAAGUCUCUCAGGAAAAGGUGACUGAGAUGAUGAAAAAGUUCUGCUCUCAGCCUUGGGAGGAGAUAAAAACAUCUUACGCUGGAGUAAAGGAGAAGUACCUGAGUGAAUACUGCUUUUCUGGUACCUACAUUCUCUCCCUCCUUCUGCAAGGCUAUCAUUUCACAGCUGAUUCCUGGGAGCACAUCCAUUUCAUUGGCAAGGUUCUUUACUUUUUAUAACAGCCUCAGAGUUUCAUGAAUUGCUGCAAUAAACACUGAUUUUCAUGUUUGUGAGUCUGCAAGCCAGCUGGGCAGCUCUACUUCAGGUGUUCCUCCUCCUGUGUUUUACAUGAUUAAUGCCACCCCUGCCUCAACGAACCAAGAUCAGCUUCAUCACUGGGACCUCCCCAUUCUUCCUGUGCAAUAUUUUUCUUUUUUAUUUCUCCUUCUAAUAUUACUGUUAUUGCUCCAGUAAAGAUCUGUAAUAUAUUUCACCUGGACUGAUACCAGGAAUGGUGGUGUUGCUUCCAAUCUGUUGCUGCUAGAUUAAUCUUUGCAAAGUACAGGCUUAACUUCAUUGCUCCUCAACUAAAACCACUGGUGGUCCAUUGCCUACAAAAUAAAGUCAACCUCCCCAGCAGACAUUCAAGGCUUUCAAUGAUCCAUGGCUGUCAGCUCUCUCCAGGCUCACAUCCCACUCCACUCCUCUGAUGUUUCCUACACUACACUACACUACAGCCAGGUAGAAUGACUGUUCACCCAACACCACUCAGGUUGUCUUCUCAACUUGGAAUACUCUUGCACCUUCAAAGCUCAGUUCAAAUGCCCCUUCAUUUGUGAAGCCUUCUCCAAAUCUCCAAGUCAGAAUGUCUCUUCCUUGUGCUACCACAACCCUUUACCUGAGCCUCCAUUAGUGCACUGAGACCAUUCUGUUCAGUGUCUGGGUGAAGCUUCUUGGUGCAAAAUAUGUUACCUAUUUCUUUCUGAAAAGUUGGAUUCAGGGAUAUUUUAGCAGGACCUAAGGUAAUAGUUCUAGCCAACCUCCCUGUCCACUGCCAGGCCGACUACAAACCCUUCUGUUGCUGGCGAGCUGGUCCACACCACUAGUUCUGCUUCAUUCUAUUUAUCUCUUGAUGUGACCAUCUUCUUCCUCCAGGUUUUAAGAACCAGCCCAACUCCUGGUUCCCUGAUGAAGCUUUUAGUCCUCUAGCCACAUCGAACUUUUCCUUUUUGGAACAUGCCUUUAGUUUCUGUGUAGUUUGCCAUGCAGCACUUCAUUGUACACAUUAUUAAAACAGAAUUUUAAGGAUUAGUAUGAACCUUAAAAGAUCAUGCAUCUCAAAAUUUAAUGUACAUACAAAUUACCCAGGGAUUUUCUUGAAAUAAAAAUUAUUUAAUUUUAAUUAAUAUAAAUAAUUCAGUAGGUCUGGGGUGAGGCCUGAGGUUCUACAUUUCCAACAAGCUGCCAGGUAAAGCCAAUACAUCUGUCCAGGAAUCACACUUUGAGUAUCAAAGGUCUAGAUGACAUUAUCAUUCCAAAGAGUUUCUUUUACAGGCUCUCAGAUCAGUGUUCAUCCACUACCUGACUGCUGUCAUUCAUAGGCAGUCUGUUCCACAGCGGGCCAGCUAACAUGGCAUUUACAAAGCUCACUCCUCUUAUAUAACAACCCAAGUGUUUCUUUUGUCAGUUGUCUGUGCCCCAGGAGAUCCCUCUCUGCCUUGCCUUGCCCUCUGCCUUUGGGGGCCAGCACCUCACACUCAGUGAAGGCCUGGAGUGCUUAAGAGGGAUUUCUUCCAGUUCUCUUGCCCUGGCCUUCAGUGUAUUAGGUGUAUGACCUCCAUGCUCUCAGUAGAGGCCCAUAGAAAAGAGCAGGUAGGUUAUGCCAGCUCACACGCAUCCUUUAAAAAUGGUUUAGAAGUUUAGCUGGUUUCUUAUUAUUCCUGACUAUGGAUGUUUCCUUCUGUCACUCUACUAGGGAUGAAACAGCUAAUUAUGUUCAAGAGUUAAAUUUAGAUUGGUUUUUAAAAACUAUGAUUGUAUUAGUUCGUUUCCAUGCUGCUGAUAAAGACAUAUCUGAGACUGGGAAUAAAAAGGGUUUAAUUGGACUUACAGUUCCACAUGGCUGGGGAGGCCUCAAAAUCAGGUGGGAGGCAAAAGGUACUUCUUACAUGGUGGCAUCAAGAGAAAAAUGAGGAAGAAGCAAAAGCAGAAACUCUUGAUAAACCCAUCAGAUCUUGUGGGACUUAUUAUCAUGAGAAUAGCACAGAAAAGACUGGCCUCCAUGAUUCAAUUACCUCCCCCUGGGUCCCUCCCACAACAUGUGAGAAUUCUGGGAGAUACAAUUCAAGUUGAGAUUUGGGUGGGGACACAGCCAAACCAUAUCAUUCUGCCCUGGGCUCCUCCAAAUUUCAUAAUCCUCACAUUUCAAAACCAAUCAUUCCUUCCCAACAGUUCCCCAAAGUCUUAACUCAUUUCAGCAUUAACCCCAAAGUCCACAGUCCAAAGUCUCAUCUGAGACAAGGCAAGUCCCUUCCACUUACAAGCCUGUAAAAGCAAGCUAGUUACCUCCUAGAUACAAUGGGGGGGUGGGUACAGGUAUUGGGUAAAUACAGCUGUUCCAAAUGAGAGAAAUUGGCCAAAACAAAGGGGUUACAGGGUCCGUGCAAGUCUGAAAUCCAGUGGGGCAGUCAAAUUUUAAAGCUCCAUAAUGAUCUCCUUUGACUCCAUGUCUCACAUUCAGGUCACGCUGACGCAAGAGAUAGGUUCCCAUGGUCUUGGGCAGCUCCGCCCCUGUGGCUUUGCAGAGUACAGCCUCCCUCCUGGCUGCUUUCUCAGGCUGAUGUUGAGUAUCUGUGGCUUUUCCAGGCACAAGAUGCAAGUUGGUGGUUGAUCUACCAUUCUGGGGUCUACCAUUCUGGGACUGUGGACUUCUUCUCACAGCUCCACUAGGCAGUGCCCCAGUAGGGACUCUGUGUGGGGGCUCUGCCCCACAUUUCCCUUCCACACUGCCCUAGGAGAGGUUCUCCAUGAGGUUCUCUGCCCCUGCAGCAAACUUUUGCCUGGACAUCCAGGUGUUUCCAUAUAUCUUCUGAAAUCUAGGCAGAGGUUCUCAAAUCUCAAUUCUUGACAUCUGUGCACCCGCAGGCUCAACAUCACAUGGAAGCUGCCAAUGCUUGGGGCCUCUAACCUCUGAAGCCACAGCCCAAGCUCUAUGUUGGCUUCUUUCAGCCAUGGCUGGAGCAGCUGGGACACAGUCCCAGGGACACCAAGUCCUAGGGACACCAAGUCCCUAGGCUGCACACAGCACAGACACCCUGGGCCCAGCCCACAAAACCACUUUUUCCUCCUGGGCCUCUGGGCCUGUGAUGGGAGGGGCUGCCAUGAAGGUCUCUGACAUGACCUGGAGACAUUUUCCCCAUGGUCUUGGGGAUUAACAUUAGGCUCCUUGCUGCUUAUGCAAAUUUCUGCAGCCAGCUUGAAUUUCUUCUUAAAAAAAAAUGGGUUUUUCUUUCCUACUGCAUCAGGCUGCAAAUUUUCCACUUUUAUGUUCUUGUUUCCCUUUUAAAAAAGAAUGUUUUUAACAGCACCCAAGUCACCUUUUGAAUGCUUUGCAGCUUAGAAAUUUAUUCCACCAGAUACCCUAAAUCAUCUCUCUCAAGCUUAAAGUUCCACAAAUCUCUAGGGCAGGGGUGAAAUGCUGCCAGUCUCCUUGCUAAAACAUAACAAGCGUCACCUUUACUCCAGUUCCCAACAAGGUCUUCAUCUCCAUCUGAGACCACCUCAGCCUGGACCUUAUUGUUCAUAUCACUAUCAGUAUUUUUGUCAAUGCCAUUCACAAGUCUCUAGGAGGUUCCAAACUUUCCCACAUUUUCCUAUCUUCUUCUGAGCCCUCCAGAUUAUUUCAACACCCAGUUCCAAAGUUGCUUCCACAUUUUCGGGUAUCUUUUCAGCAAUGCCCCACUCUACUGGUACUAUUAGUCCGUUUUCAUGCUGCUGAUAAAGACAUACCUGAGACUGGUAACAAAAAGAGGUUUAAUUAGACUUAUAGUUCCACCUGGCUGGGGAGGCCUCAGAAUCAUGGCAGGAGGUGAAAGGCAUUUCUUACAUGGCAGCAGCAAGAGAAAAAUGAAGCAGCAGCAAAAGCAGAAACCCCUGAUAAACCCAUCAGAUCUCGUGAGACUUAUUCACUAUCACAAGAAUAGCAUGGGAAAGACCAGCCCCCUUGAUUCAAUUACCUCCCCCUGGGUCCUGUGGGAAUUCUGGAAGGUACAAUUCAAGUUGAGAUUUGGGUGGGGACACAGCCAAACCAUAUCAAUGAUUUUGUACUUUAACCAGCUGAAUGGAAGUACAAUCUCUUGCCAUAUGCCACAAUAAUUAUUUGCAAAAUGAGUAAACAUAUCAUAAGGAAAUUAUUUUUUACAAGGUUUGAAACCUGAAAUGCAAUCUAUUAUCAUACAUAACUAAAAAUAGAGCCUCAAUAAACAGAUUCCCAGUUUUGAAAAUGCAACAUUUGUACUCCACAUUGUCAGUUUUCUUAGGUAUAUUUAUAAAUACUCCUAUAAAAAUGUAAAGAAACACAUAAUGUAGAUUGCUAAUUUUAUAAUAACACAAGUUGAUUUUGACAUCCAACUUAUUUUAUUAAUUAUGAAAUGACUUUUGGCCUAGUAACAAUGAAAAGGGGGGCAAAUACAGAUAAAUGAUAAUUCUUAGAAUGAACUACUCAGCACCAAUUCUAAGUUUUUCUCGAUGGUAAAUCAUAAUGUUCCCUUUCUCCUCGGUUCUGCAAUCUAUAAGCAUACCAUAAUUGUAAUCAAUAGCUUAAAAAUAUGUCUCUCUGUCCUGGUCUGUUUCUGUAUCUCUUGGAUUUUUACCUUUGCAAUAGUCAACUGAACCCAACCUUCUUGGAGUACUCAUGAAGAUGGAAGUCCAUGUGGAGAAUACGGGAUGAAUCCACUCUGUCUCCUGCAGUGAAGUCUAUUUGAAGGAUGUAUUUGGCUGUCUUCUGGACAGGCCAUUCUAAUAACAGAAACAAGUUAUUUUAAAACUUAUUGGAAUAUUCAAAUAUUAACCAAAGUAGAAAAAUAUAAUACACAUCCACGUGCCCAUCACACAACUUCACUGAUUAUCAUCAUUUAGCCAGUCUUGAAGAAGCAAGUGCUAAUUACAAUCACAAAUGAAACAAGAUUCAGACUUCAUGAAGAGCACUGCGCUAUAAUAAAAGAAGAAAUGAGCACAUACAUUCUUUUACUGACAGUCAAAUGGUGAAGGUCGGCAGAAUCAUUAUGUGAUGCAAAAUGGCAAAAGUAUACAGACAGUGCAUCCAGAGGAAGGUACCUUGCUGAAUGACUAGAAUGGAAGUAGGAGACAUUUUGCAGGCCCCCUUCAUCCUGCAGGGAGAACCAGAACUACAGCAGCUCUAUUUGCCUAUUUCUCUUUAAAUUACAAAGUUAAAAUUUGGGAGUAGUAGAAAAUCAAUUGGUUAUCUUAUAGAGUCUCCUAGAAUAUUUCAUUGGCAUUGAGAAGGUGGAAAAUGCAAACAAAUUAUAUACUUUAAAAUGUAAUUUGCUUUUCACAUAUGCUUAAAGCCUAAAACCUCUUAAUAAACUUCUUCCGAAAUAUA
Molecule: RNA transcript, 6787 nt
Organism: Pongo pygmaeus (Bornean orangutan)
Lineage: Eukaryota; Metazoa; Chordata; Mammalia; Primates; Hominidae
Gene: ENTPD1
Gene name: ectonucleoside triphosphate diphosphohydrolase 1
Exons: 11
Source: RefSeq, a predicted model, not a curated record